GGAGGGUAUAGCUCAGUGGUAGAGCAUGUGCUUAGCAUGCACAAGGUCCUGGGUUCAAUCCCCAGUACUUCCA
Molecule: transfer RNA, 73 nt
Filed under: Vicugna pacos (alpaca)
Lineage: Eukaryota; Metazoa; Chordata; Mammalia; Artiodactyla; Camelidae
Description: tRNA-Ala (AGC) (tRNA-Ala-AGC-243-1)
Rfam family: tRNA
About the family: Transfer RNA (tRNA) molecules are approximately 80 nucleotides in length.
Source: RNAcentral